UGGGGAAUUUUACGCAAUGGGGGAAACCCUGACGUAGCGACACCGCGUGAGCGAAGAAGCCUUUUGGGGUGUAAAGCUCUGUCAGCUGGAAAGAACACAAUGACGGUACCAGCAGAGGAAGCAUCGGCUAACUACGUGCCAGCAGCCGCGGUAAGACGUAGGAUGCAAGCGUUGUCCGGAUUUAUUGGGCGUAAAGAGUUCGUAGGCUGUUUGUUAAGUCUGGUGUUAAAGACUGAGGCCCAACCUCGGAAAUGCAUCGGAUACUGGCAGACUUGAGUACGGUAGAGGCGAGUGGAAUUCCCAGUGUAGCGGUGAAAUGCGUAGAUAUUGGGAAGAACACCGGUGGCGUAGGCGACUCGCUGGGCCGCAACUGACGCUGAGGAACGAAAGCCAGGGGAGCGAAUGGGAUUAGAUACCCGCGUAGUCC
Molecule: ribosomal RNA, 427 nt
Filed under: uncultured bacterium
Lineage: Bacteria
Description: bacterial SSU rRNA
Rfam family: Bacterial small subunit ribosomal RNA
Source: RNAcentral